Molecule: ribosomal RNA, 395 nt
Filed under: uncultured bacterium
Lineage: Bacteria
Description: partial 16S ribosomal RNA
Rfam family: Bacterial small subunit ribosomal RNA
Source: RNAcentral
AUACGUAGGGGGCGAGCGUUGUCCGGAAUUAUUGGGCGUAAAGGGUUCGUAGGCGGUUAAAUAAGUCAGGUGUGAAAGCCAUAGGCUCAAACUAUGUAAGCACUUGCGAAGUGGGCUACUUGAGUGCAGGAGGGGAAAGCGGAAUUCUUAGUGUAGCGGUGAAAUGCGUAGAUAUUAGGAGGAACACCAGUGGCGAAGGCGGCUUUCUGGACAGUAACUGACACUGAGGUACGAAAGUGUGGGGAGCAAACAGGAUUAGAUACCCUGGUAGUCCACACCGUAAACGAUGAGCACUAGGUGUCGGGCUCGCAAGAGUUCGGUGCCGCAGUUAACGCAUUAAGUGCUCCGCCUGGGGAGUACGUACGCAAGUAUGAAACUCAAAGGAAUUGACGGGG